GAUGAACGCUGGCGGCGUGCCUAAUACAUGCAAGUAGAACGCUGAAGGAAGGAGCUUGCUCUUUCCGGAUGAGUUGCGAACGGGUGAGUAACGCGUAGGUAACCUGCCUGGUAGCGGGGGAUAACUAUUGGAAACGAUAGCUAAUACCGCAUAGCAGUAGAUGUUGCAUGAUAUCUACUUAAAAGGUGCAAUUGCACCACUACCAGAUGGACCUGCGUUGUAUUAGCUAGUUGGUGAGGUAACGGCUCACCAAGGCGACGAUACAUAGCCGACCUGAGAGGGUGAUCGGCCACACUGGGACUGAGACACGGCCCAGACUCCUACGGGAGGCAGCAGUAGGGAAUCUUCGGCAAUGGACGGAAGUCUGACCGAGCAACGCCGCGUGAGUGAAGAAGGUUUUCGGAUCGUAAAGCUCUGUUGUAAGAGAAGAACGAGUGUGAGAGUGGAAAGUUCACACUGUGACGGUAUCUGACCAGAAAGGGACGGCUAACUACGUG
RNAcentral lists this ribosomal RNA (497 nucleotides) under uncultured bacterium. RNAcentral describes it as "partial 16S ribosomal RNA". It matches the Rfam family "Bacterial small subunit ribosomal RNA", at positions 28 to 507 of the family's 1533-position model. The record is from RNAcentral.